UACGUAGGGUGCGAGCGUUGUCCGGAAUUACUGGGCGUAAAGAGCUCGUAGGUGGUUUGUCGCGUUGUCCGUGAAAACUCACAACUCAAUUGUGGGCGUGCGGGCGAUACGGCAGACUGGAGUACUGCAGGGGAGACUGGAAUUCCUGGUGUAGCGGUGGAAUGCGCAGAUAUCAGGAGGAACACCGGUGGCGAAGGCGGGUCUCUGGGCAGUAACUGACGCUGAGGAGCGAAAGCGUGGGGAGCAAACAGG
Molecule: ribosomal RNA, 252 nt
Filed under: uncultured bacterium
Lineage: Bacteria
Description: partial 16S ribosomal RNA
Rfam family: Bacterial small subunit ribosomal RNA
Source: RNAcentral